AACUGAUACUACCUGCGGGAACCUGCGGAAGGAUCAUUAUUGAAUUGUGUUUCUAAAUGGGUUGUAGCUGGCUCGUCAGAGCAUGUGCACGCCUGUUUGGACUUCAUUUUCAUCCACCUGUGCACCUAUUGUAGUCUUUGGUUGGGUAUCGAGGAAGUGGUCAGCCUAUCAGCACUUGCUGGAUGUGAGGACUUGCAGUGUGAAAGCUUUGCUGUCCUUUACUUGAUCAUGGAGCUGUUU
Molecule: unclassified non-coding RNA, 240 nt
Filed under: soil metagenome
Description: partial contains 5.8S ribosomal RNA, internal transcribed spacer 2, and large subunit ribosomal RNA
Source: RNAcentral